AUGGAGGGUGUUACAGUGUUUAUUGUUGGUGCUGGGCCAGCAGGCCUCGCAACGGCAGCAUGCCUUAGCCAAUUCUCAAUUCCUUAUGCCAUCGUCGAGCGCGAGAGCUGUAGCGCGUCACUCUGGCGCAACCGCGCGUAUGAUCGCCUCAAGAUGCAUCUCGCAAAGGAGUUCUGUGAGUUGCCACACAUGUCAUACCCUAUAGAUGCACCAACAUACAUACCAAAAACCUUGUUUGUGAAGUACUUGGAUGACUAUGUUGAGCGUUUCAACAUUCAACCAAAGUAUCUCACCAGCGUGGAGUCAUCCACAUAUGAAAAUGAUGAAAAAUGUUGGUCCAUUGUGGCAAAGGACAUGUCAAAGGAUCUGGCAACUCCGGGAUGGAAAUUGCUUAUGACCUUGCGACCCAUGGUGCCAACACAUCGAUUGUUAUAUGAAGCCCGGUACGUACGUGCACUAUAUAUUUUC
This 468-nucleotide ribosomal RNA is filed under the name Triticum aestivum (bread wheat). RNAcentral describes it as "partial small subunit ribosomal RNA". The record is from RNAcentral. Lineage: Eukaryota; Viridiplantae; Streptophyta; Magnoliopsida; Poales; Poaceae.